This 253-nucleotide ribosomal RNA is filed under the name uncultured bacterium. RNAcentral describes it as "partial 16S ribosomal RNA". It matches the Rfam family "Bacterial small subunit ribosomal RNA", at positions 524 to 776 of the family's 1533-position model. The record is from RNAcentral.
GACGUAGGGGGCGAGCGUUGUCCGGAAUUAUUGGGCGUAAAGCGCACGUAGGCGGUCUGCUAAGUCGGGAGUGAAAGCCCUCGGCUCAACCGAGGAAGUGCUUUCGAAACUGGCAGACUUGAAUACUGGAGAGGGUCGUGGAAUUCCCGGUGUAGCGGUGAAAUGCGUAGAGAUCGGGAGGAACACCAGAGGCGAAGGCGGCGACCUGGACAGCUACUGACGCUCAUGUACGAAAGCGUGGGGAGCAAACAGG